AUGAGUGGGGGACAACCCGGGGAAACUCGGGCUAAUACCGCAUACGCCCUACGGGGUAAAGCAGGGGACCUUCGGGCCUUGCGCUGAUGGAUGAGCUCGCGUCGGAUUAGCUUGUUGGUGAGGUAAAGGCUCACCAAGGCGACGAUCCGUAGCUGGUCUGAGAGGAUGAUCAGCCACACCGGGACUGAGACACGGCCCGGACUCCUACGGGAGGCAGCAGUGGGGAAUCUUGGACAAUGGGGGCAACCCUGAUCCAGCCAUGCCGCGUGUGUGAAGAAGGCCUUCGGGUUGUAAAGCACUUUCAGCAGGGAGGAAGGCUUACCCCUAAUACGGGUGAGUACUUGACGUUACCUGCAGAAGAAGCACCGGCUAAUUUCGUGCCAGCAGCCGCGGUAAUACGAAAGGUGCAAGCGUUAAUCGGAAUUACUGGGCGUAAAGCGCGCGUAGGCGGUGUGUUAAGUCAGAUGUGAAAGCCCAGGGCUCCACCUUGGAAUUUCAUCCGAUACUGGCACGCUAGAGUGCAUAGAGGGAGGUGGAAUUUCCGGUGUAGCGGUGAAAUGCGUAAGAUCGGAAGGAACACCAGUGGCGAAGCGGCCUCCUGGACUGACACUGACGCUGAGGUGCCAAGCGUGGGAGCAACAGGAUUAGAUACCCUGGUAGUCCACGCUGUAAACGAUGUCUACUA
Molecule: ribosomal RNA, 685 nt
Filed under: Alloalcanivorax venustensis
Lineage: Bacteria; Pseudomonadati; Pseudomonadota; Gammaproteobacteria; Oceanospirillales; Alcanivoracaceae
Description: bacterial SSU rRNA
Rfam family: Bacterial small subunit ribosomal RNA
Source: RNAcentral